This 1212-nucleotide long non-coding RNA is filed under the name Brachypodium distachyon (stiff brome). RNAcentral's name for it is "long non-coding RNA (BDIS_LNC004886)". Lineage: Eukaryota; Viridiplantae; Streptophyta; Magnoliopsida; Poales; Poaceae. The record is from RNAcentral.
GGUGCGAUCCUUCCGGGGAGCAAGCGAGGUGGCCCACGCGUCAUGCGGCGGUGGUAUCCCAGGUGCCACUGGUGCGACAUUGGGGUAGCUCAUUUACGCAAUAAACCCCUUUUAUGAACAAAACCCUAUUGGGUUGAAAAUCCAGUUUGCCAAAGGAAGGUGAAAAUCAGAUUUGAAAUAAGGAAGGCUUUGAAAAGGGAUUCAAAAAUUCAAAACAAAUUUUUUAAAAUGGCCAAAAUUGCAUAGAUGGCAUGAUGCUUAUGAAUGCAAAUGCAUGAUGAAAUGUUUUUAAAAUUUGGGAUGUUACAGUUAGUUGCCUCGUGGGCCCCGACCUGGCCGUUUCGCUCCUGGGUAUGCCUGGUUGAGCCUGGCUUAGGCCGGGCGGGCACUUUCUUUUUGUUAGUUAAAUCUUUGCUGGCAGCCCCGAGAAUAGGCCGCCGGCAAAGCUCGCGUUCACUUUUUUUUUAGUUUAAUCUUUUGGAUUUAACUUUUUUGUUUUUAAACUCUUUGCCGGAGGCAGGCUGCUGGCAAAGAAUUAUUUUCCCGCGUCCCCGUCCGAAAUUAACUGGCAACCCGAAGGAAAUCCAAGAAAAAAGGAAAUCCAAUGAAUAUGAAAGUACUCUUUGCCGGCGGCCCGGCAAAGGUUUCUUUGCCGGAGGCCCCGAGAAUAGGCGCCGGCAAAGCAUGUUUUUUUUUUCCUUUUCUUUGUUUGGUUGUGAUGUAAAGCAACCAUAUUGUAAACACAUAUAGCAAUAUAUAUUGUUGUUUAGAUUGAACCUAAUUUGUACUUAUAAAAUUUUGUUUCCCAAAUCAUAAAUUUGCAUGUCCGUGAGUUAAUUGGUUACGAUCGUUUCAUCAACGCAUGUAAUGGCGAAACAAAUGGUUUCCCAGCUUUCCCUUGUGCAUGGUGUGCCAUGUAUAUGUAAAUGAAGGGUGUGCUAAUGUUAAAAUCAAAUCCAUAGCCCUUAUGUGACACUUCCUUUGCAAACUAUACUACCGAAUGGGUAUGAAUGUUCCGCACUUGAGGGGAAAACUCUCAAUUCAGACCGACGGAACAUAAUUUAGACGGUCCAUGGGGUAGAUGUUUGCUUUUUUCAUGUCCCCGUGUGCUAAUAGAACCCUGAGGAAGAUUAAAGUGACAUGAAAACACUAAGGAAGAUUAAAGUGACAUUUUCCGCACGAACGUUCUGGAAUUAGAAGGGGAAACUCGCA